AGACAGAGUCUCGCUCUGUUUCCCAGGCUGGAGCGCAGUGGCAUGAUCACAGCUCACGGCAGCCUUGACCACCUGGGCUCAAGCAAUCUUCCCACCUUAGCCUCCUGAGUAGCUGGGACCACAGGCACAUGCCACCAAGCCUGCCUAAUUUUUUUAUUUUUUUUGUAGAUGAAGGGUCUUGCUAUGUUGACCAGGCUGGUCUUGAACUCCUGGGCUCAAGCGAUCCUCCCACUUCAGCCUCCCAAAGUGCUGGGACUACAGACGUGAGCCACUGCACCCGGCCUAAACAUAGUUUUCCAAGCACACUAUGGUCAUUAUCUUUAAUUUAUGGGAGAAUUAAAGAGUUGAAAUGACUCUUCACUCUUUUGAAGUGGUAGCAACUAAAAAACAUAGUAGUUUUUUAGUUUUGGCAGUAGUUAUGGCAGAGAGAUUGGAACCACUGGAUGCUGGACUUCUGGGGCAUGAUGGCUCACUCGAUAGAGAGAGAGCACUACGGAAGGGAGCCCCAUUCCCAAGCAUGGUGUCCAAUACACUGAAAGAAUAACUGGGCUCAGUAAUGCACCUAGAGACUCAGAUUCCAGACCUGCCCACUUGCUUUACUAUCCAAAACAACCAUGACACAUGACUUCUCUGGCAGGGUGUUGGCCAAGACAAAUUGAACUAUAGAAGAUCCUUGACUUGCCAACGUUCAAAUGAUGAACUUUCAAAAAUAGCGAAACUGGCUGCGGAGCAAAAGCUUUUCAGCUCUGCACAACACCAACAGAUGGCGCUAAGUGUCACCCUUGUGGAGAGCAGAGGGGCCUCGGAAGGGCCUUUGGAAAUCUAAUCUGGUUUUGAGUUCUUGGUGGGAAAAUGCACCUUUAAGUUGGGGGAGUUUGAAGACAUUGCCAAGACACGUGCUGCAGCAUUUGAUCUUUUCUGCCGCACUGGCUUCUGCAAUUAACAUGCUUUCACCAGUGAAACUCAGGUUGCGGGGAGAGCAUUCUUCCAGGUUUAUGCCUGUUGUCAUGGAGUAAUUAUAAUUCAUGUCUCUGUUCACAGUGUCCUAGUUUGUAGAAUAAAAUAUCUGGUCCACCC
This is a long non-coding RNA of Pan troglodytes (chimpanzee), 1077 nucleotides long. RefSeq lists it as uncharacterized. The transcript has 3 exons. The record is from RefSeq and is a predicted model, not a curated record. NCBI's taxonomy places the organism in Eukaryota, Metazoa, Chordata, Mammalia, Primates, Hominidae.